CAGAGGUCCCAAGCGUUGUUCGGAUUCACUGGGCGUAAAGGGUGCGUAGGCGGUCAGAUAAGUCUGAUGUGAAAUCUUCGAGCUCAACUCGGAAACUGCAUCGGAAACUAUCUGGCUCGAGGAUUGGAGGGGAGACUGGGAAUUCUCGGUGUAGCAGUGAAAUGCGUAGAUAUCGAGAGGAACACCAGUGGCGAAGGCGAGUCUCUGGACAAUUCCUGACGCUGAGGCACGAAAGCUAGGGGAGCAAACAGGAUUAGAUACCCUGGUAGUCCUAGCCCUAAACGGUGCACGUUUGCUGUAAGAGGAAUCGACCCCUUUUGUGGCGAAGCUAACGCGUUAAACGUGCCGCCUGGGAAGUACGGCCGCAAGGUUA
This 373-nucleotide ribosomal RNA is filed under the name uncultured organism. RNAcentral describes it as "bacterial SSU rRNA". It matches the Rfam family "Bacterial small subunit ribosomal RNA", at positions 526 to 896 of the family's 1533-position model. The record is from RNAcentral.